RNAcentral lists this ribosomal RNA (490 nucleotides) under uncultured bacterium. Its description in RNAcentral is "bacterial SSU rRNA". It matches the Rfam family "Bacterial small subunit ribosomal RNA", at positions 28 to 518 of the family's 1533-position model. The record is from RNAcentral.
GAUGAACGCUGGCGGCGUGCUUAACACAUGCAAGUCGAACGAGCUUUAUUACUACGAUCCCUUCGGGGUGACGGUUUUAAAGCGAGUGGCGGACGGGUGAGUAACGCGUGGAUAACCUGCCAUAUACUGGGGGAUAACAGCUGGAAACAGCUGCUAAUACCGCAUAAAACUGUAGAGUCGCAUGACUUUAUAGCCAAAGCUCCGGCGGUGUAUGAUGGAUCCGCGUCUGAUUAGGCAGUUGGCGGGGUAACGGCCCACCAAACCGACGAUCAGUAGCCGACCUGAGAGGGUGACCGGCCACAUUGGGACUGAGACACGGCCCAGACUCCUACGGGAGGCAGCAGUGGGGAAUAUUGCACAAUGGAGGAAACUCUGAUGCAGCGACGCCGCGUGAGCGAUGAAGUAUUUCGGUAUGUAAAGCUCUAUCAGCAGGGAAGAUAAUGACGGUACCUGACUAAGAAGCUCCGGCUAAAUACGUGCCAGCAGCCGG